This is a long non-coding RNA of Homo sapiens (human), 8655 nucleotides long. Ensembl annotates it as long intergenic non-protein coding RNA 632. The record is from Ensembl. NCBI's taxonomy places the organism in Eukaryota, Metazoa, Chordata, Mammalia, Primates, Hominidae.
GCUGCUGUUUGCCCCCACUCCUUCAGUGCGACAGACAGCCUCAGAGCUGGUGGGGAGACAGCAUGCCACUGGAAAAAUUCGUAGACAUGGAAUUCCUGGAUCAAAUGGUAUGAAACAAUUUAAGGUUUCUUCCCCCCAACACCUAUCACCUAAUUUAUUUAUUAUAUGUGGUAUAAACAUUAUUUUCCAGCCAUUGUUUUCCUAUUAAUUUUUACCAUUUAUGGUGGUGAUUUUUUGAUAUUUUACAGUUUUACAUGUUAGAUUUCCAUAUCUGACCAUUUUAAGUGUUGUGAUUUUUUUCUUUCCUUUGAUUAGUGUAUUCACCUGUAUUUUUUUCUAGUUAUUUAAUUGCUUCAUUUUUUACAAUUAACUCCUUAAUCCACCUAGAAUUCAUUUUGAUAUAUGGUAUACAGUAGGAUUUAAUUUUUUUUCCCCCUAAUAGGUCACCGAUUGUUUCAGCAUCACUUAUUGAAUAAUCCAACGCAACAACUGUUCUUCCAUUAGAUAGGGUGUAGCUUUCCACAGGUCGGCCAUUUUCUCUUUACCCAAGAUGGUUACAUUUUGCAAUGGUACUCCUACCUUCCUGCAGCUUCUGACAGCAUACUAGAGCACCAUGUUUGUGCUUGUGCGUUUCAAAAAUCCUAGGCACAUGCAGAUUAGGGCAGUAUUUUAAACAGGAUUUUUUUUUUCAUUUUAAAUAUGUUAAGUUUGUCACAUUCUUGUUGCAAAUUAAAAUUAAGGAAUCCAAAUAUAUGAAACCACGGUUUCAGGUGUGCUAUUCCUCUUAGGCGCACCUGAUAUCCCAAUUGUGUGUUAAAAAAAAAAAUACCCCCGGGGUUAAAGUUCCUCCUUCAACCUCUUUUUUUUUUUUUUUUUUACUCUUCAGAUACUCAAAGAGUUAAAGUUGGCUCGACUCAGUUCUUGGAAUUUUCUAGAAUGAUAUAAGAGGGAAAUACAAGAAAUGUAUGAGGAGUAGAAGUAAAUAAUGUUUGCCAGCCUGUUGCUGGCCGUAGUCUCAUGUAGGGAUUUAAAGGAGCUAGGGUGAGUCCUAACCCAUGCCACCACUGCCACUACCUCUUCUAGAUAGGGACACACCCCAGUGAGCCACCUCUUUUCACUGCAGGUGUAAGGCUCAAGACAUAAGGCAAGGAGUUUUUUAGUAGGAGAUGGGUUAAAUAUUGCCCAGAGAAAUCUGACAAUUAAAAUCACUUGCUACCUAUUACCAACCCUCUCCCGGGCCCCCAACGAAGCUUUCUCUCUCUAUUGACUUCUGCACCGGGCCUCUUAGCUUUACUGAUUCUGGGGGGGAAAAAAAAGGGCGGGGGGAGGAUGGCGCGUGAGUGGGAGGCUGCCUUGCCUGCGGUUAUUGCAAGGGGCUCCUUUGGCUCACAGCCUCAGUCCCAGUAGUUUCCUGACUUGCCGCAUUAGACUGUGUUUUGUUUAUGAGGAGGCUGGUUUCCCUGGCAAUGGCAGCUCGCCAGUGCAUGCGCAUUUGCUCCACUGCAGUAGCAGAAUGCGGCUGUGGGGCCAGGGGAGGGGUCCUGAGGGCCGCAGUGGCUGGAGUUAUUUGGCAGACAUGACGUCAGUUUUUCUGAGCUAAACUGCCAUCGUUACUGUAUAUGGAGCAUUUUUUUUUUUUUAAAUAAAGCUUGGAAGGCUUUUAGCCACUCCUUUUCUUUCCUCCCAAAUUAACUGCUCUCUAUAUGCUCACCAGUGACCACGAAGGCUUUCUAAGGUUUGAGGCCACCGAUGCCCUCAGGGCCCCGAGGGGAAUCAUAAUAGUAUGAGAACAGGAAACAGACUGCCUGGUUUCAGACCUCGGCUGCUUGCUAGUUGCAUGACUGUGGGACGGGUUACUUAAAUCUCUUCGUUUCCUCAGAUGUAAAAUGGGGAUGCUAACAGCAUGUUUAGAACAGUGUCUGGCACAUAGUAACCAUUAUGUAAGUGUUGUCUAUUAUUAUUUGUAGAUACUAAGGGGGACUUGCCUGGAAGCAGACUUGUGUCCGCAGUAUACAAACUCACCCUUUAAUGCACACACUGACCAGAUAACACAAACACAUUUACCCCCACAGCACCUAGACUCUUCUCACAGUACACACACUUGCCUUCCAGUACACAGACAUAUCCAAAGGCACACCGACAAGCACCACAGCAAAAAGAUGUUCCCCAGAACACAUGGACACCCCAAUCCCCGUAUCAUUAGACUCUCCCAGAGGCACGUAUGUACUGCUUAAUGCAGAGACUCACCUGAGGCACACUGAUGCACCCCGCAUGACACAGACUUGCCCCCCCAUAAGGACUCUACUAUGACACACAGACAAUCCCAACAUCACACACUGUUCCCACAUCACACGAACCCAUUUUAGGAAACACACAGCAUACAGACUUACCCCAUAGAACACGGCUUCCCCGACAAGCACACAUACUCUCAAGGCCAGUAGACUCACCCCACAGCACACAGACUUUCUCUAGAGUGUACAGCUUCUUCCCACAGCAAACAGACUCUCCCCAGGGCACACAGACACCCCUGACAUCACAUACUCUCACCACAGACCAUAGACUCGUCCUAGAGCACAGGGACUCUUGCCAAUGAAACAGACUUUCCCGAGAAUAGACUCAUGAGACAGCUUGAAGACCCGCAUCAUGACACAAAGACUCUCCCACAACAGACAGACUCACCCCAUUGUGUACAGACAAGCACCAUAGGCCACAGACCAUCACCUCAGGACACAGACUUGCCCAGCACCACACAGACACUCUGCAGAGCACGUAGAGUCACCCCGCAAAGCACAGACUAAACCCAUACUACAGAGACUCUCCCUAUAGCUUUCAGACAAGUUUACCCCACCACAGAGACAUGCAACGGUACAUCUUACAACAUAUAUCACUCCUUGAUGCACACAAUUGUGCCACAGCACACAAACUUGUCCUACAGUGCACAAAUUCAUGUCACAAAAGACACACUCACCACACAAUACAAAUACUUGCUCCAGCCGGACGCGGUGGCUCACGCCUGUUAUCCCAGCACUUUGGGAGGCCUAGGCAGGUGGAUCACCUGACGUUGGGAGUUCGAGACCAGUCUCACCAACAUGGAGAAACCCCGUCUCCACUAAAAAUACAAAAUUAGCCGGGCAUGGUGGUGCAUGCCUGUAAUCUCAGCUGCUCCGGAGGCUGAGGCAGGAGAAUCGCUUGAACCCAAGAGGCGGAGGUUGCAGUGAGCCAAGAUUGUGCCACUGCACUCCAGCCUGGGCAACAAGGGCAAAACUUUGCCUCAAAAAAAAUAAAAAAAUAAAAAAAAAAACAACCCAGCAACAAAAACAAACAAAAAAAAACAAUUACUUGCUCCAGAGUUCACUCAUUUGCCCUAAAAUAUCUAGACCUUACCCCAGAGUUACCACACAAUGCAUGCUGUGUCCCUGCAUCACCAAAAUACAACUCAAACUCCUCAGACACACUCUGAUAAAUAGACAUACCUGACAAUGUACAGCUUGGCAUCAUAGCAGGAAAAACUGGCUCUACAACAGAUUUAUUCUACAACAGACACACUCAGGCUGUAGAGACACCUAAUCUUUCUUUAAGGUAUUCAGACCCACCCUUUUGGGCACAGUCACAGAUGUGAUCCAGGAUACCCUCACCCAUCCCACAAUACUGAUGCAACCCACAGCGUACAAACACAUCCCACAGCAUAACACUCUAAGCCCACAGUGCUCAGAAAUGUCAGGCACACAUUUGCCAUACAGAUUUACUUCACACACAAAAAACACAGCCAGGUGGGUGGCUCAUGCCUGUAAUCCCAGCACUUUGGGAGUCCGAGGCGGGCGGAUCACAAGGUCAGGGGUUCAGGACCAGCCUGUCCAACAUGGUGAAACCCCGUCUCUACUAAAAAUACAAAAAAAUUAGCCGGGCAUGGUGGCACAUGCUUGUAGUCCCAGCUACUCGGGAGGCUGAGGCAGGAGAAUCACUUGAACCCAGGAGGUGGAGGUUGCAGUGAGCCGAGAUCAUGCCAUUGCACUCCACCUUGGGCAACAGAGUGAGACUUCGUCUAAAAAAAAAAGAAAGAAAGAAAGAAACAAACAAGAAAACAACAACAAAAAACACUUCUUAUAGUGCCUAUACAAUGCAAACAUGUAUCCCAAAAUAUAUGAAACUAUUUGCUAUGUCACUCUUAGGUUUACCCCAAAGCACAUAGACCGUUUUCACUGCUCAAGCUGCUGCCUACAAAACAGGAGAUGCCAAGCCAUGCACAGAAAUUCACCAAAAUGCACAGAUUCACCUAUCAAUAUACAUACUUGCCUCACAACUCACACAAACACCACCGAGCACUGAGACUCACCCUAAAUGUACAGACAAGCCCUUCAGGGCACAGACUUACUCUGUAACAUACUAAAUCACAUCCCCCAUACUUAGAUGUGCCUUAUGAUUCACAGUGAUGCGUGUAAACACAUAGAUUGCUUCCACAAUGCACAGAAUUGCAUCAUAACACAGACUUACUCUACAGUGCAAAACUGACAGUGCACAUAAACAUUUCCCAGUCGGCUAGACACACAACACACAUAUUACUCCUACAAUGUAAAGAUUUCCAUCACGGUGGACAGACGUGCUUUUCCAUGCUGUUGAGCUACAACUCUGGCCUACAACAACAGAAAUACAGCUUGUGUAAUAGUUACCAGCAAGGCCUCUAGACCCAUACUAACUGGGUUUGAAUCAAGGUCCCGUCCCUUGCUGAUUGUAUCACCUUGGGAGGAGAUGGAAGAUUGAGAGCAGAGUGCAAGAAUGGGAAGAGGGCUUCGUGCCCUGUGCACGUUUGCCACCUAGUGACCAAACUGAAUGGUGUGCUUCUCACCUCAGCGUGAUAGCCUGACCUUGACUCCUGAGUUCCACGAUCGCUUCACAACUGCAAGUCACCAUCAUACAAAAUUUGAGUUUCCCUAAGUCCGCGCCUUUGAGAGCUUUGGAACGAUAUGCAAGUUCAAGUCACCAUCCUGUUUCUUGCUACCUCCUGUGAGAAGACCAACAUUUGGGUUACACUUGUUUCUACUCUUGUUCUUCUGCUUGUUAUUGUUGCCUCUGCAGCCAUUGAUCACACACGUGUUGUCAUACAAAAACUGGUUAGCCUUUUUAUUUGUCUUGUGAAUUUUAUCAUUUGGUUCUUAAGUAUUACAAAUUAAUAUUGUGUACUCUCAUUGAUAUACAACUUGCAGUCAUUGUAAAUAUGCGUGAGUUAGGGGUGAGAAUGGCAUGCAAGCAAAAGAACAAGGAGAGGGAUGAUAGAGAUGCAAGAAGAGUAAAGAGGGCAAGAAAGUUUAUGUUAAUAGCGAACACAAUGAAAGUUCUUUAAAUGCUUGAUAAUGGUGAAAGCAACACUUCCUAGGGCAUAUUUUUGGUGUUAAUGAACCUACACAUCAUACAAUAAAGAAAAUUGAGAAAGCAGUUGGGGCCAGUGAAUCGGGGGCACACAAGAAUCACUGAGAAAAUCAUACACAACUCAAAAUGCCACAAUAGGGAAAAUAUAAAGAGAUUUGCACUUGUGGCUUCUAAAACAGAGAAGGUUGAAUAGGUCUCUUUCUGUGUGUAAAAUCUGCCAGUGAGCAUCACAAAAAUGCAAAUUUAAAUUUCAAUCUGGAUGGAAAGUUAUAAAAUUCAUUGCAAGUAAUGGGUGGUUGGGUAGGUUUAAGAAAUGCCAGGUGGGUGGAUCACUUGAGGUCUGGAGUUUGCAACUAGCCUGGCCAACAUGGUGAAACCUUGUCUCUACUAAAAAUACAAAAAUUAGCCAGGAUUGGUGGCGGGUACCUGUAAUCUCAGCUACUCAGGAGGCUGAGGCAGGAGAAUCGCUUGAACCUAGGAGGCAGAGGUUGCAGUGAGCUGAGAUCGUGCCAUCGCACUCCAGCCUGGGUGACGAGAGCAAAGCUCUGUCUCAAAAAAAGAAAAGAAGAGAAGAGAAAAGAGAAGAGAAGAAAGAAGAGAAGAGAAGAGAAGAGAAGCUGUGGCCUGUAAUGAAAAGAAGUGGAGAAGUGACUGUCAGAGGAAGCAGAUUAAGGAGCUGCCGGAGAGUAUCCUGAAUACCUGAAGAAGACGAUUGAGGACAAUGGCAAUUUGCCUGAGCAGGUUGUCAGUGCUGCUGAAACUCUGGAAGCAAAUGCCUACUUGCACAUCUAUUGCAAAGCAUGAGAAAAGGACCAGAGGCUUCAAGCCUGGAAAAGACAAACUCAAAGUUCUGCUUUGUUCCAGUGUGUUCUGAUUAAACCCAUGUUGCUUUACAGAUUCCAAAAUUGUUACCUUCUUUAAAGAGAAAGCCAGAAACACUUUUCUGUGUACAUGAAGGGAAACCAUGAAAUAUGGAUCACUGAGAAACUCUUUUUGAACUGGUCUUUGAAGUGUUUUGUUCUGAGGUUAAAUAACAUUUAAAUGAAAAAAAAAUCUUGACUUCACAGUGUUGUGAUUCUGGACACUGCUCCUACAGACAAAAAUGCAGUCAUAAAUGCUGCUCCUUGUGUUCAAGUCAUCUCCAUUACCCCCAGUACGACUCCACUCCUUCAACUCUUGCAUCUGAGAGUGCUAGCGAUGUACUGUGCUCUGCAUGUAUUUUGACUACCUGAAGAUCUUAUCAGAGACACCAGAACUUUACCAUGAAAGUGGCUUGGCAACAUUUCUCCGUUUGUAAUGCUUUAACAGGUGUAGAAGAAUCAGUGAGACAAAUAAAACAAUCAAUACUUAAUGAAGUCUGGCAGAAAUUUUGGAAUGAGGUUGUGACUGAUUUGGAAGGUUUCCUUCCAGUGGUAGAAGAAAUUGAAAAUAUUGUAACAUCUGCAAACCAUUUGAAUAGUGAAGGCCUUGAAGACAUUGAGUUAAGUGACAUUACUGAAUUGUUAGACUCUCACCUUCAAAAGAUAGUUGAGAAAUAUUUUGGAGAUGUGAUCACAUCAAAAGGCAAUAGAAGAAGCCAGCAUAGGUUAACAUCCAGAACUCUAAGAAUGUUCAAGUAUCUACUCCACAAAUGAAAUUGUCACAAUGAUUCAAAAGAAAGAGAUCCUUUGGUGGGCUACAUAUUGACUUUCAGGUAAGGCUUAGAUGAUUACUUACAAUCCUAUAAAGCAGUAGUAAUAAACUUCCAAACAAACACCGAUAAGUAUUUUCUCUCUGCUUACUUGACAGGGGAGAAGAGGUUGACAUUAGGCCAUGUCAUUCAAACCCGUUCUGCAAACAGGAAAACAGGAAGUAGAAACGCCGCACACAGAUAGUUAAACCUUGGGAUUCAGACUCUGAUGGCUCUGAUGAUAUGGUGAUUUGUGUGCUGGGGAUGAAAGAGGAGCAGAAGACUGAGCUUACAUCUCUUCAGACGAAAUGCAAUUUUCUCUAUUCUUUCCCUGUUACUAUUGUUACGACCAAGCAUUUUCAUUGAUCCAUUAUCAUCUUCAUCUUGAGAUCACAAAGGAAGUUAAUUGCCUGAUAUCCACUCUUGUUAAUAUAAAAUAUCAAUGAUAUUUAUUUUAUUGUUUUAGUUUGGUGAACAAACUGAUUGUCUAGGCUUUCAUAAUACUCAUGUCCUUGCCUCAUUUUUUCCUAAAAAGUCUUAAAUUCCUCCAACAUGGGUACUCUGAGAGUUUCGGGAACUCAACUAUAGCAUUUAAGGAGUGGGCUGCUACUGUACUUGGCUGGAUAAUUUGAUUUUGUACUCCUGAAAUUUGUUUUAAUUCUGAUUAAGCCUAACUUGCGAUCUCACCAGAAAGGAUUAGUUUGGUAUAAGUUAAAUUAAUUUCUUUUCCAGCAAUUGUAUAUGUUAGCUAUUGGCUGAUCCUGAAAAGCAGUAUAUUUAUGUUAAAUUUCCAGAUUUCCUUUGGUAGCUAAUCAAGGAGGAACAGCUGCUAGAGUUCAUUUUCAUAGAUUCUUUCUGUUCUCAUAUCUGGCCUCCUCAGUGAUUUGAAGAAUUGAAUAUCCUCCAAAAAAUGGAUAUUAUUACCUCCUGUUCUCUGAUGGUGAUGGAGACUUCAUUCUCAGAUUGUUUUUAAAUUCCUUUCAUAAUUCCAUAUAUUUACUUCAUUUGAUUCAAUUGUGUUACAAAAGUUAUUGUCAUGGUUGUUUUAAUUUUGGAUGUUUGGAAUUUUCCAGGCAGAUUUAACAGAGGAAAAAAAACCACAAAGCCAGAGAUACGACGCUGUUAUCUUGUUCUAAGAAUUUUGGGCAAAGGCAUAGGCUGAACCUGCCUGUUCUUUUGGCUGCUUUACACAUUCCCAACUGAUGUCCAUUUUGAACUCAGUUGGACAGUUAUUCUGGGGAAUAGAGAGGAAGUCCAAAUAACAUCGCUGUUGUUUCUGUCUUAAUUGCUGUUUGUGCCGGAUUCACAGCACUGGCCUCAUCAUUAUAUCUGAUAAUGAUGCACAGAAAACCUGAAUAGAGAAAAGAAGAAAGAUAAUUCAUUGGCAUGUGCUUGCCAAAAAGAGACUUUAUAUAACUUGAGAAAGCAUAAAGACAACCUGGAAUGAGGAAAUGUAUGUACAGUAAUGAAAAAAAAAUGCUUUAAACAGCUGUGUCAAAAACUGACAUCAGAGAGUAAAUUGAAUUUGGUUUUGUAGGAAGCAGGAAGCAAGCCCACUCAAACGUUGAAAUUUGGCAUGAGGGAGUCCAGUAACUUUCUCCUCAAUCUGUGAACUAUAUGUG